CUGCCUAGCGAGCGUCGCGGGGUCGCGGGCCGAGCUCAGGUCUCCGGGUCCGCGGCUCCUCCAGGCCGCGGCCGAGACUGCGGCGGAGACAGAGCGGGCGCGAGGACCGGCCAGGCCAGGGCGCGGAAGAGGAAGAGGGCGCCGUCCCGCCGGGCGCCGCACAAAACCCCUUUCUUCCCGCCCCGCCCCGCCCCCUGGCCCCGAUCGCCGGGGGGCUCUGCGGGGUCACGGGACCCGCGGCCGUCCCUGCGUUGGUUCCGGGCGCGCCAAGUAGGACAUCCUUCCAGGGGUGGCCGCGGGGACGGAGGGAUGGAAGUCAGACACCCGGAGGGACUUCCCACUGGCCACGGGGCGCGGCGACGCGAGACGGCCCCAACCCCAUGCGGACGAGGAGCCCUUCUGGAGACUCGGCCGAGGUGCACACGGCUGCAGCCCCCUUCCUGGAGGACGCGCUGAUUGGAUUUUGUCCCCGUGCUGCUCCCGCUCUGCACGGAGGAGGAGCUGACUUUGCAGCUGGAGGGAUGGAGGCACUUGCUAUGUGAUUCAGGCUGGGCUUGAACUCACUAUGUAUUCCAGGCUGGACUUGAACUCACGGCAAUCCUCCUGCCUCAGCCUCCCAAGUACUGGGAUUACAGGUACUGGGGAUUGAACUUGGGACCUUGUGCUUUCGAGGCAGCUGGUGGCACCACUGAGCUAAAUCCCCAGCCCACUAAGGGCAUAUUUCCGAAGAGUGACCUGCCUCAGUCCUUCAAGAGGGAUCCAGAGGGAAGCCACAGCUGUGGUCAUGGGGGUGACAGGCACCUUGUCACUGCCUUCCGGGGGGAGAGGAUGUGGAGGCGGAAGGCAGAGACUGACACUCCUCAUCCUGUGUAGGCCUAGGCCAAUGUGUGUGUUUGCAUCUUGAUUUUUAAUUUUUUUAAAAGUUUAAAAAGUAAAAUAAAAUUUAAAUAGAAAAGCUUAUAUAACAAGGGUAUAAAACUACUUUUGUACAGCUGUACAUGUUUGUGUUUGAAGCUGUUAUUACAAAUGAGUCAAAAUGUUUAAAUUAUCAAGAGCAUAUAAAGUAAAAAUGUUACAGUAAACUGAAGUUAAUUUAUUACCGAAGGAAAAUACUGGUCAUCAAUUCAGUGCAGGCUAGGUGUGGCCUGUGUAAAGUCCACAGCAGUGCACAGAAACAUCCUGGGCUUCCACACUCACUUCACCACUCGGGGUACGUACAAGGCACCAUCUCUACCACAUCUUAACUGUGCCUUUUCUGCAUUUGAAUGCACGAAUACUGUUAUGGCUGUCUAGAUGUCUCCCAAAGCCCCAUGCAGUCGUAGCUGGGGGGUUUUCAGAGGUGGCUGGAUUUAAAGUGUGUAAUUGAUUCAUGGUGCAAUGCUAGGAUUAAGAGUGCUAGAAUUAAGGGUGUGUGAUUACUAAAUCAGUCCACUGAUUGGUUUGGCCCUGCCCUAAUCUCAGUAGCCUGAGUACAGUAUAAGGGACAGAAGAGGCUUGUCUUGUCCUGGCGAAGCCCAACCGACCUCCAAUGCUGCUUGACAAAGUUCCCGGUGGGGGAAAGAAAGGGUGGAACACAUCGUACCCUCAUGUUUUAUUUUUUCUUGCCAUAAUGUUUAUAAUUGUUACUCUGAUCACAGGAGUCAUUGUGUUUGUUACUAACAACAAACUCUCCAUGAGACAAAUUGGUAAUGAUACAUUGAAAUCUGAUCUGGCUCACAAGUCCCAAAUUCCAGUUUCUCUUAGUUCUAUUGCCACAUCCACUCCUAAAGAAACCUCUCCUAAAACCCCCUCUGUUUCCCCACUACUAUGACUCCCCCUCUUAUUGCUGACAUUCUUUUUACUAAAGGGGUCUUAUGAAGAGAUUGAAAGGACAGACUUUAGAUGUAAGAAAUAGUGGAAAGUGGGAAAUAGAAAGAACGUUAAGACAGGUAAAUGCAUUAAGGAGGCAAGUUACUCAGUAUUUCUCAAAGUGCUGUAAAUAUCUCCUGCUCGUGGACUAUGAACCCAAAUGACAUUUAGUUAAGAUGAAUAGAGGUAUAGAAAAACAGAGAGCUAAUAGCAAACUAUAUUAACCAUUGUGCAGUUUCUCAAGGGCCAGCUGGUGAUCACAAGUUUGACACUUAGUUGAUUAAAUCUUGCUUGUACCCCCGCUGAUAUAAAGAUUUUGAUUAAGUUACUUUCUGUUCUGUUUAGGUGUGGGUAAAUAAGGGGACAAUUGUAAUUUUUAAAUAUGUAUUUGUGACGUUCAAUGAAAUGAAACAGCUUAGAGGAAUUGUACUUUGUUUAGCAAAAAAUAACCUUUACUUCAAUAGAAAUUGCUAAGGCAAUCUAAAAUGUAAACAUGUUCCGCCCAGUGCCUCCUAGCCAUUGCUUAAAGAUAUAAAAAUAAAUCAGACCCUGAGACUUCUCAGAGGGAACCUGAACAUUGCUUGUGAAGGUUCUUUUCUCAUCGCUGGCCCAGGACAUCUCCCCUUCCUACCCUACAUCGACAUCAACUGCAGCUGGUUUGCAGCAUUGUCCCUUGUUGCUUUGUCACCUUCUGUCUGUCACAAACUGUUUCUCUUCCGUGAUGCCCCUUUGCCAUGCUUGACUUGGAG
This is a long non-coding RNA of Heterocephalus glaber (naked mole-rat), 2597 nucleotides long. NCBI's taxonomy places the organism in Eukaryota, Metazoa, Chordata, Mammalia, Rodentia, Bathyergidae. The record is from Ensembl.